RNAcentral lists this long non-coding RNA (200 nucleotides) under Elaeis guineensis (African oil palm). RNAcentral describes it as "long non-coding RNA (EGUI_LNC052309)". Lineage: Eukaryota; Viridiplantae; Streptophyta; Magnoliopsida; Arecales; Arecaceae. The record is from RNAcentral.
AAUUUAAUUAGUAUUUAUUUGAGUUAAAAAUUUAAAUUAAACUUAGAUCAGAAUCUUAAUUAGAUUAGGAUUGAAAGGCUCUUCGAAUCUGAUGCGAAUCAGAUUCGAAUCAGAUUCGAAUCGAGUCAAAUCUGAGUCUUUUUGGUUUAGAACCAAAAAGUUCCUAAAAUCAGGGACUCUUUUUCAUGAUUGCCGACCAA